This 3742-nucleotide long non-coding RNA is filed under the name Olea europaea subsp. europaea. The record is from RNAcentral. Lineage: Eukaryota; Viridiplantae; Streptophyta; Magnoliopsida; Lamiales; Oleaceae.
AAGAAACCUAUUUCUUUAUUUCCGUUCCAUUUGCUUCGCUCGUCAGAGGAAAUUCGAGAGUUUUCCCGACUUCGAACGAGGUAGUCUCACGCAAAUCAUUUACUUUUAGUUUUAAUCUACAAAAGGAAGGAUAUUGGCUCAAAGGGUUUGGGAAGAGUGGAUUUGGGUAGCUCUAUUUCUAUUCACGCUUCUUAUAAGUACAUUCAGUUUUAAAAAUAAAAUUUUAGUAUAUUUUAAAUCCUAUAUAACUUUACUUAAAUAGACAUAAACAGAAUUAAAUAAAAAUAUAUAACUCUAAAUUGAUCCACAAAUUUUUAUUUUUAUUAACUUAUUCUAAAUUUUUUUUUAUUCUUUUAGAAUUUAUGUUUAAUUAGAAUUUACAUGAAUAUAAUUAUAGGUGCCUUUGAUAAAUUGAGUUUUAUGAAUAAGAAUGAUAAAAUUUCUAAUAAACAUUAUUAACAUGAUUAGCUGAAUAAUAUAUGUUCAUUUAAUGUUCAAUAAGUUCAACUUUGUUAUUAUUUCAUUCAUUUGGUUUAGAAGAGUUUAUAGUUUUAAGGAUUGUGUGAAUUUAUAAUGUUAGGGAUGUAUUUAAAAUGUGAUGAAUAUAUAGAAGUUACGUGGAUAUAUAAUAUUUAAAUGAAUGGAUUUAAUAAGGACAAGUUUGAAAAUAAUGUGGAUGUAAAUAGUAUUUUUUAAAAAUUUUAAAAUUUUAUUAGGGAUAAUUUAGCGGGGGGAUUUACUUGGAAAAAUCGUUGAUGGAAAUAACUGUACCCAUGGAUUUUCCUCUGAGACAACAAGGGUUCUCCAAAUCGAUUCUUUUUCCUACAUGAUUUCUGAUUUUUUGUUGAGUAUUUCUUUGUUGUUGCAUUUUUUGAGGUAUUUACUUUAGGAUUUGUUUGUUUCUUCUGUUACUUUAUUUUUAUGUAAGAAGAUCUAAGUUUUGAAUCGAAGGUUUGGGGAAGAAGGGAUUUUCUGCGAGAAAGCAAACGGGUUAGCAAGUGUACUCCACAUCAGUUAUUUUUCUACAUGAUUUUUGAUUUUGUUGGAUAUUUUUCUUCGUUGUUGCAGUUCUUGAGGUACUUUGUUCAAGAUUUAAUUUUCUCACAAUUUUCAUAAUUUCUCUUUUCGUUGUCUAUACAGAAUCAUUUGACGGGAUUGAUAUUAUAUUUGUAGAUAUUAUGUUCUCACUAAACGUGUUUGUCGACGUAUUCUUAUCCAAAAUGAGAGUUGAUCAUUUAUUUUUUUCUGAUUUGUAAAAAAAUGUUAUUUAUAAUGUUUUGGAAAAAAAAUAUAAGGUGCUAAAAAAUUGCUGCUAUUGAAUAGUUUCUUUGUUCUAGAAGUUUUAAACCUCAGUUUAUGAUGUAUUUGCCCAAAACAGAAAGAAAAAAGAUGGCACAUGAAACCUAUAACUUCACCACGAGCCAGACCCAUUUGUGUUUCAUCUUAACCUUCAAAACGAGCUUAGGAAAUGCCAUUUAAGCUUCAGCCUUUUUGAUUAAUUUUCUCCUUUAAACUCUCUUAGCAUUUGAGCAAAAAAUUCUUUGUUGCUCUUAUAGAACCUAGAGUUGAAACAGAGAUCGAGGUUACUAUUUCAAGGGUCGGUCCUUGUUAUGAAAGACCUCAAGUCUAGCUACAUUUGGAUUCCUCUUCGACAGAAUUGGUAAGUACUCUAUAUUAAUGCAUAUAUGAAACUUUAUCACAUACUCUGCAAGCGACGUGUGGAAUGCCACAUUCAUGUGUACCCUAGAUUCAUAGUUAUUUGGGAGAAACUUUUACACGUCCUAAAGAACAUGCUCUAAACUUUUGUUUUGGAUAUUUAUAUUAUUGUAGAAUAAAGGCCAGACUACUGAAGAUACUGUGUUAUGACUAUGAGGUUCUCUUUUCUUUCUUCCUAUACCUCAUCUUUCUGUUACAAGAGGGGAAGAGGAUGCUGAUUUUCUUUUAUAAAAACUUGUAAUUUUUGACUUUGACUUGGAUAGUUACAUAUUUAUGUGUAUGAAGAUAUCUGGUCUGCACUAGAACAAAGCAUUUGAUAUUUUUUGUUUUACAUUUAGUACACUAUGAGUGCAAAUCAUUGUCUAAUUUUUCUGAAUAUCAAGACAAACACCUCAGAUGUGCUGGAUACUGUGCAACGAUGUCUAACCUCAUAAUUGCCUAUUUGGAAGUUCAUACGCAUGCUGCAAUUCAUUUGAUAUCAUUAAUACAUAUAUUCAUGAUCUUAUGAUGUAUGAAUGUGGAAUGAAUGAUCGCUUGAUAAUUGUUUUUACAUGCAUGUCUCUCUAUAGCUGUCAUUUAUUUUAGUUUGAUUGUGUUUUGUUGUCUUUUGACUAGGGGAUUUUGAAAGUCAUUGUGAACAAGCUAUUGAGUUAAAGUCUUAGUAAUUGCUUGCUCUUAAUUCUUUCCUUUAAUUUAGUUUGUUUACUAUACUUUCAUUUUCAAUAUUACAGCACUAAAUGUUAAAGCUACAUUAUUAUAAGGACAAUGUAGUUACCUCAGAAAGUAUGCUAGAGAUUCUAUGCAAUAGAAUUUUGCCUUGUAACUUAAGUCAGUGCCUAAAAAUUAAAGGUAAAACAUGUACUCUUUUCUCUUAACAAGUAAGAAAGUCAAACUAUAGAUCAAUCAUGUAACUAAACAAACUUGCCUCUAAAUAAAUGUGUAUAUGUGGAGUGUUAGAAGGGUGUACAAGCCUAUAAUAAAGAGUGGUUUACAUGUUUGCAUUGCUAAUUUACUAAUGCCUUUGAACUUUAUUCAAGUUUUUGAGUUAACAUUUGAGAUUUCAAUGUGGUGCAUUUGUGUUAACAUUUACAUGAGGUAUAAGUGUUAGAAGGGUUGUAUUGAUGCUACCAUUAUAGGAGAACCUGCUGAGAAGUUCUUACAAUGCUCUGCGCUUAUACUUAUGAAACAACUCUGAUACCUACCUCAAACAUAUUUUUAAAUUAUUAUGCUAUCAUAUAUUCAUUUACAUUGCUAAUUCUAGUAUUCCUAUUUCUGCAUGACAAAAACAAACCUCUCAGAAUGAAUCCAUACCUCAACAAAUGAAGAUCUAUUCUUCUAUGUAAAAGCUGUAAAAUAAAAAAAUGGAUAUGAAUACAAGUACGAAGUCAGCUCACUGUAGAUACAUCUUCAACAACAUGAAAGUUCACAUGUAAGCAUUGAUGGAAGCACAUUUCUAACUCCAUUUGUUGAAUCACUACACUUGAUGCAACAUGAUUCUAAUGAAUCAUCAGCUCGAAGGGUAAUAUUCUCAACUUCUAGUUCUUCACAUUCCCAAAACAAAGAAGAUGAAAGAAAAAUAGUGGUUAAGGCAAAGGCAUUGCAGUGAAUGAAUCAAUUGAUGAGAAUUUUGAAUGAUGCAGAAUGUUAAGCAUUGGAGAAGUUAUGCAAGUUAGAAAUGGUUUUUGUUUCUUCGUCUCUUUCCAGUUAGAACUGCAAGAUGUAGCAACAAAUAGAUCCUAGAAUUUGCAUAUGAAAUUUAAAAUAUCACUUGUAUUUCAAGCUACUCAUGAAGUAGUUAUUCAGCUAAACAUUGUAGUUUGGGUCUAUAACUGUUCUACAUUCAGACUUUGAUAUUCUGGUUAGUUAAAUGAAAUUGUGUGAUGGUUUUUGGAUCGUUAUUAUCUUUUUGGUUGAUGUUUGUGUACGCCUGUCUCCAUUGUGUAGAUUGUACAGCUUCUCAUUGAUAAGAAUAGGAGACUUGAAAAAUAGCUUCUUACGUUUACUCUAAGCCUAUGUUUGUUUCCCA